This 316-nucleotide ribosomal RNA is filed under the name uncultured soil bacterium. RNAcentral's name for it is "bacterial SSU rRNA". It matches the Rfam family "Bacterial small subunit ribosomal RNA", at positions 26 to 371 of the family's 1533-position model. The record is from RNAcentral.
AGAACGAACGCUGGCGGCAUGCCUAAUACAUGCAAGUCGAACGAACUCUUCGGAGUUAGUGGCGCACGGGUGCGUAACGCGUGGGAAUCUGCCCCUUGGUUCGGAAUAACAGUUGGAAACGACUGCUAAUACCGGAUGAUGACGAAAGUCCAAAGAUUUAUCGCCAAGGGAUGAGCCCGCGUAGGAUUAGCUAGUUGGUGAGGUAAAGGCUCACCAAGGCAACGAUCCUUAGCUGGUCUGAGAGGAUGAUCAGCCACACUGGGACUGAGACACGGCCCAGACUCCUACGGGAGCAGCAGUAGGGAAUAUUGGACAA